This 467-nucleotide ribosomal RNA is filed under the name uncultured bacterium. Its description in RNAcentral is "bacterial SSU rRNA". It matches the Rfam family "Bacterial small subunit ribosomal RNA", at positions 355 to 825 of the family's 1533-position model. The record is from RNAcentral.
UAGGGAAUAUUGGACAAUGGGUGAGAGCCUGAUCCAGCCAUGCCGCGUGCAGGAAGAAGGCGUUAUGCGUUGUAAACUGCUUUUUGCCAGGGGAUAAAAAGACCGUGCGCGGUUAAUUGAAGGUACCUGGUGAAUAAGCCACGGCUAACUACGUGCCAGCAGCCGCGGUAAUACGUAGGUGGCAAGCGUUGUCCGGAUUUAUUGGGUUUAAAGGGUGCGUAGGUGGCCCUGUAAGUCAGUGGUGAAAUAUCUCAGCUUAACUGAGAGGGUGCCAUUGAUACUGCAGGGCUUGAGUACAGAUGAGGUAGGCGGAAUUGACGGUGUAGCGGUGAAAUGCAUAGAUAUCGUCAAGAACACCGAUAGCGAAGGCAGCUUACCAAGCUGUAACUGACACUGAGGCACGAAAGUGCGGGGAUCAAACAGGAUUAGAUACCCACGUAGUCCCUGAGCGGGCUGGCAAGGCGCAU